This 476-nucleotide ribosomal RNA is filed under the name uncultured organism. RNAcentral's name for it is "partial 16S ribosomal RNA". It matches the Rfam family "Bacterial small subunit ribosomal RNA", at positions 331 to 798 of the family's 1533-position model. The record is from RNAcentral.
GUACACUCCUGCGGGAGGCAGCAGUGGGGAAUUUUGGACAAUGGGCGAAAGCCUGAUCCAGCAAUGCCGCGUGAGUGAAGAAGGCCUUCGGGUUGUAAAGCUCUUUUGUCAGGGAAGAAACGGUGAAAGCUAAUAUCUUUUGCUAAUGACGGUACCUGAAGAAUAAGCACCGGCUAACUACGUGCCAGCAGCCGCGGUAAUACGUAGGGUGCAAGCGUUAAUCGGAAUUACUGGGCGUAAAGCGUGCGCAGGCGGUUUUGUAAGUCUGAUGUGAAAUCCCCGGGCUCAACCUGGGAAUUGCAUUGGAGACUGCAAGGCUAGAAUCUGGCAGAGGGGGGUAGAAUUCCACGUGUAGCAGUGAAAUGCGUAGAUAUGUGGAGGAACACCGAUGGCGAAGGCAGCCCCCUGGGUCAAGAUUGACGCUCAUGCACGAAAGCGUGGGGAGCAAACAGGAUUAGAUACCCGUGUAGUCCCAU